UACAUAGGGAGCAAGCGUUAUCCGGAUUUAUUGGGUGUAAAGGGUGCGUAGACGGGAAAUUAAGUUAGUUGUGAAAUCCCUCGGCUUAACUGAGGAACUGCAACUAAAACUGAUUUUCUUGAGUACUGGAGAGGAAAGUGGAAUUCCUAGUGUAGCGGUGAAAUGCGUAGAUAUUAGGAGGAACACCAGUGGCGAAGGCGGCUUACUGGACGAUGACUGACGCUGAGGCUCGAAAGCGUGGGGAGCAAACAGG
Molecule: ribosomal RNA, 253 nt
Filed under: uncultured Eubacteriales bacterium
Lineage: Bacteria; Bacillati; Bacillota; Clostridia; Eubacteriales
Description: uncultured Clostridiales bacterium partial 16S ribosomal RNA
Rfam family: Bacterial small subunit ribosomal RNA
Source: RNAcentral